Cotesia glomerata is the source of this 949-nucleotide long non-coding RNA. RefSeq lists it as uncharacterized. NCBI's taxonomy places the organism in Eukaryota, Metazoa, Arthropoda, Insecta, Hymenoptera, Braconidae. The record is from RefSeq and is a predicted model, not a curated record. The transcript has 2 exons.
UAGUUCCAAAAUUAUAAAAAAUUUUCAAUUUUCAAAGCGAGAAGUUGGUAAUAAUUUGAUUAAAAUAAUCAUGUGCUGAAUACCACAAGUAAUAUCACGUAGCUGUUUGAUAGUUAAUGAAUCAUUCAUUAAUCGUUCAUUACUUUCUUCAUAAGGAUUCAGCCGUAGGUAGUCUGAAACUAUAAAGGUUUCCCUUUAAAAGAUAACGUAGAACUCUUGAAGCGAGUCCAAAAAAUGUUAUCAAGUUUAUUUUAAUAUUGAACUAUUCUAAUUUUAAAAAAUUCUUUCAAAAAUAUUGCUCGAAUCUACAUAAUAUGUUCAGUUUUAAGUGUUCAACAAUCCUCAUGCUUGAGGUUUUAAUAAUUUGUAUUCUUUGUCGAGCAAUAAGCCGCGUCGAAAGUCAGUUAAAUUUCUCAACUGGCUGGGGAAAACGAAAUUUACAACAUCAAUGCAGAACUUGGAAUAAUAAAAUACAAAGUAUUCCAUACUGUCUUUUCAAUUUAUCAGGCAGUAAUUAUCGUCGAUCUUCAAGGAUUUUCAAUAAAUCAAUAAUACGUGUACUGCAUAGUUCUUUGGUAGUUUGAAUGCGGAAAAGUAAAUUUAUUAGUUAAUGUAGCAUUCGCAGAAAAAAUUAAAUAUUAUUAGAAUUGUAGUCACUUUAGCAGUUUGAAAUUGAUUUAAAUGUAUUGAAGAUGCUAAAUACAGUUUUAAAAAUACGGAAUUUAUCAAACCGUUAAAAUAUUAGAACUGAAAACGAUUUCAUUUAUCCCAGUGAUACUGAAUAAUUAUCAGUUAAAAUUUACGCUUGUUAAUAGUUCUUAGUAAUUAUUUCUUGUUGCAAAAAAUUAUUGACUGUUACUUUGCUUCAAAUAUAAUUUAUAAAAUAUAAUUUUAUUACUUAAAGCAUUUUACAGUUAAUAAUCACAUAAAUAAAAGUUACUAUCAUUGA